Molecule: long non-coding RNA, 1650 nt
Organism: Mercenaria mercenaria
Lineage: Eukaryota; Metazoa; Mollusca; Bivalvia; Venerida; Veneridae
Exons: 4
Source: RefSeq, a predicted model, not a curated record
CAUGUCAGAAAUAAUUUUUCUACGAACAAAAAGAGUUUAGUAUCUCAUUCCAACUUUUCAAAUCAACAGGCAAAUCAUAACUUUAUUUUACAACAGACAUGCUGAUUUAAUCUGUAAAUGCUCUAGACUCUGCUGUAGUUUGUUAAUAUCUGUUUAUGCAGGAUGAAGGCGUAAUUUCGCCCCAGUCAGUUCGUCCCCAAUUUUAAUGGAAUUGGUUAGAGAUCCGUUACUUAAUAUACAAUAAGUAACAUAUUUCACCAAGAUUCCUGUGAAUUUCACCAAGAUUCCUGUGACAGUCAGUUUUAUGAGUCAAGGUUACAACAAGAUCUCAUUUCUGCAUCUGGAAGAGUCUACUUCACCAAAGAUGUGUUUGAGCUUCUCUGUGAAUUGGGAAACCAUGCCUUCGUGUCUGCACAGGCUUUUGCAGAGACAUACAGUUCUGUCUUCCACAACGAGCAUCCUCACAUGAAACAGUUCAUUGCAUGGCAAUGUCAUAUGAGACUCACAAGUACAAAUGGUAGUCAGUGAAGUCAUCCUGUCUCGGAACAAGACCAGAUGGGGUGUCAUGAAGAACGGUGUUUUUGAGGAGAAAACCAACUUUGCGUUUCAACUGAAAUACAGUGUAGCCACCACAUUACCAUCUGGGCCAGGAUAUGUUGUAGACAUAGUCAGAUCUGCUGACAACAAGCAAGGGUAAGAAUGAAUUAUGUUGGUAUAAGACUGGAAAAAUACCCACUUCAUUGUACCCACCGACAACAAAGUUGUAAGGGGGGGUAUACUGGUUUCAGGUUGUCUGUGUGUCCGUAGACGCAAUCUUGUGCGCACCAUCUCUCCUUAUCCCCUUGACAGAAUUUAAUGAAACUUCACACAAGUGAUUAGUACCAACAGUAGUUGUGCAUGGGGCAUGUUAGGUUCUUUUAGAAAAAAAAUUUGCAGAGUUAUGGGACUUUGUUUUUUUGUUACUAUACUAUAUACAUAGACACAAUCUUGUGCGCACCAUCUCUCCUCAUCCCCUUGACACAAUUUAAUGAAACUUCACACAAGUGAUCAGUACCAACAGUAGUUGUGCAUGGGGCAUGUUAGGUUCUUUUAGAAAAAAAAUUUGCAGAGUUAUGGGACUUUGUUUUUUUGUUACUAUACUAUAUACAUAGACACAAUCUUGUGCGCACCAUCUCUCCUCAUCCCCUUGACACAAUUUAAUGAAACUUCACACAAGUGAUCUGUAACAACAGUAGUUGUGCAUGGAGCAUGUUAGGUUCUUUCAGAAAAAAAUUUUGCAGAGUUAUGGGACUUUGUUUUUUUUGUUACUAUACUAUAUACAUAGACACAAUCUUGUGCACACCAUCUCUCCUCAUCCCCUUGACACAAUUUAAUGAAACUUCACACAACUGAUCAGUAACAACAGUAGUUGUGCAUGGGGCAUGUUAGGUUCUUUCAGCGACAAAAAUUGCAGAGUUAUGGGACUUUGUUUCUUGUUAACAUACUAUGUACAUACAGUCUGCAUAUGCAAUCUUGUGCGUGCCUAAUCUACCAAACCCUUGCACACAAUUUAAUGAAACUUCACACAAGUGAUCAGUACCAACCUUAGUUGUGCAUGGUGCAUGUUACAUUCUUUUAGAUAAAUAUUCUGCAUAGUUAUGGGACUUUGUU